GAUGAACGCUGGCGGCGUGCCUAAUACAUGCAAGUCGAACGGUAACACUUCGGGUGACGAGUGGCGGACGGCUGAGUAACGCGUAGGAACGUACCCCAAACUGAGGGAUAACUCCGAGAAAUCGGGGCUAAUACCGCAUGUGCUCUAAGGAGUAAAGCUUCGGCGGUUUGGGAACGGCCGGCGUAUGAUUAGCUUGUUGGUGAGGUAAUGGCUCACCAAGGCGACGAUCAUUAGCUGGUUUGAGAGGAUGAUCAGCCAGACUGGGACUGAGACACGGCCCAGACUCCUACGGGAGGCAGCAGUAGGGAAUUUUCCACAAUGGGCGAAAGCCUGAUGGAGCAACGCCGCGUGCAGGAUGAAGGCCUUCGGGUCGUAAACUGCUUUUAUAUGUGAAGAAUUUUGACGGUAACAUAUGAAUAAGGAUCGGCUAACUCCGUGCCAGCCGCCGCCGUAA
RNAcentral lists this ribosomal RNA (454 nucleotides) under uncultured bacterium. RNAcentral's name for it is "partial 16S ribosomal RNA". It matches the Rfam family "Bacterial small subunit ribosomal RNA", at positions 28 to 523 of the family's 1533-position model. The record is from RNAcentral.